UGAAUACGAGAUGCUACGGCGUCGAAGCAGUGUAUGUCAGACUUCCAAGAAAAGCUCGCAAUGUCAUAAAUAAAGAAUGCCUGUACCAUAACCGACACAGGUGGGUAGGUAGAGUAUACUAAGGGGCGCGAGAUAACUCUCUCUAAGGAACUCGGCAAAAUAACUCCGUAACUUCGGGAGAAGGAGUGCCUUCUUUAAGAAGGUUGCAAUAACAAGAUCCAAGCAACUGUUUAUCAAAAACACAGGUCUCCGCUAAGUCGUAAGACGAUGUAUGGGGGCUGACGCCUGCCCAGUGCCAGAAGGUUAAAGAAGUUGGUUAGCUUUUGCGAAGCUGAUGACUGAAGCCCUGGUGAACGGCGGCCGUAACAAUAACGGUCCUAAGGUAGCGAAAUUCCUUGUCGGGUAAGUUCCGACCCGCACGAAAGGCGUAAUGAUUUGGAUACUGUCUCGGAGAGGGACUCGGUGAAAUAGACUUGUCUGUGAAGAUGCGGACUACCUGCACCAGGACAGAAAGACCCUAUGAAGCUUUACUGUAACUUGAAAUUGAAAUUGGACUUUAUUUGCGCAGUAUAGGUGGAAGGCGUUGAAAGUAAUCUUGCGGGAUUAGUGGAGCCAUCAGUGAGAUACCACUCCUAUAAUGUUAGAUUUCUAACUUUGGAUCAUGAUCUGGUCAAAGAACAGUUUCAGGCGGGCAGUUUGACUGGGGCGGUCGCCUCCCAAAUGGUAACGGAGGCGUACAAAGGUUUCCUCUGAACGGGUAGAAAUCGUAUCUAGAGUGUAAAGGCAUAAGGAAGCUUGACUGUGAGACCUACAAGUCGAGCAGGGACGAAAGUCGGUCUUAGUGAUCUGACGGUGCUGAGUGGAAAGGCCGUCACUCAACGGAUAAAAGUUACUCUAAGGAUAACAGGCUGAUCUCCCCCAAGAGUUCACAUCGACGGGGAGGUUUGGCACCUCGAUGUCGGCUCAUCGCAUCCUGGGGCGGUAGUACGUCCCAAGGGUUGGGCUGUUCGCCCAUGAAAGCGGUACGCGAGCUGGGUUCAGAACGUCGUGAGACAGUUCGGUCCAUAUCCGGUGUAGGCGUUAGAAUAUUGAGAGGAGCCUUCUUUAGUACGAGAGGACCGAGAAGGACAUACCUCUGGUGUACCAGUUAUCGUGCCAACGGUAAACGCUGGGUAGCUAUGUAUGGAGAGGAUAACCGCUGAAAGCAUCUAAGUGGGAAGCCCACCUCAAGAUGAGUAUUCACAG
This 1245-nucleotide ribosomal RNA is filed under the name metagenome. Its description in RNAcentral is "bacterial LSU rRNA". It matches the Rfam family "Bacterial large subunit ribosomal RNA", at positions 1564 to 2817 of the family's 2925-position model. The record is from RNAcentral.